AUGAACGCUGGCGGCGUGCUUAACACAUGCAAGUCGCACGAAGCACUUUAUUUGAUUUCCUUCGGGACUGAUUAUUUUGUGACUGAGUGGCGGACGGGUGAGUAACGCGUGGGUAACCUGCCUUGUACAGGGGGAUAACAGUUGGAAACGGCUGCUAAUACCGCAUAAGCGCACAGCAUCGCAUGAUGCAGUGUGAAAAACUCCGGUGGUAUAAGAUGGACCCGCGUUGGAUUAGCUAGUUGGUGAGGUAACGGCCCACCAAGGCGACGAUCCAUAGCCGACCUGAGAGGGUGACCGGCCACAUUGGGACUGAGACACGGCCCAAACUCCUACGGGAGGCAGCAGUGGGGAAUAUUGCACAAUGGGCGAAAGCCUGAUGCAGCGACGCCGCGUGAGCGAAGAAGUAUUUCGGUAUGUAAAGCUCUAUCAGCAGGGAAGAUAAUGACGGUACCUGACGAAGAAGCACCGGCUAAAUACGUG
This 480-nucleotide ribosomal RNA is filed under the name uncultured bacterium. RNAcentral describes it as "partial 16S ribosomal RNA". It matches the Rfam family "Bacterial small subunit ribosomal RNA", at positions 29 to 507 of the family's 1533-position model. The record is from RNAcentral.